CUCCCCCCAGUCUUAGGGGAUGGCCUUGCUGUUGCCUUCAGCAGCAAUGCUCUGCCUCCAUUGUUGGCCUCCUCUGCAGGGUGGGACCGUCUGAGCACCUGCCCGUGUCUGUGCAGCAUGGCACACUGACGCCAGGCCCACGUGCAUGCCCAGGUGGCCAGUCACACACCAGGUGCUCCCUCAGUGUUGGCCAAGUGAGAGGAGCACACCUUCCGGGUGCUCAGACACCUCCCCGUGGCAAACACCGUUCGUUGCUACCAAACAGCCACCUCCUUCCUUACAGGCUCCCAUUUUUCUGUGCUGGGCAAAGGUCCCUUGAUCUUGGAGUUGCAGCCUCUUUCUCUCCAAGGAGGGCCGUGACCAACCUGAGCCAGUCAAUCCAGUGAUUGGUUCAGGAGUAGCCUGUGACCAGGAGUCCUGGUAGUGAACGACUGGGGCAGCCCUGGGGGUGAGGACCUUGCGCAGCAGUCACAGGCCCUGAUUGGACACUGGGCAGCUGCUAACCCAGUGUCUCCAGCUGCCUACCUGGAGAGCUCCAAGCGUAAGAAAAUAAACCCUGCCUGUUGAAGCCA
This 572-nucleotide small RNA is filed under the name Pongo abelii (Sumatran orangutan). RNAcentral describes it as "processed transcript". The record is from RNAcentral. Lineage: Eukaryota; Metazoa; Chordata; Mammalia; Primates; Hominidae.